UACGUAGGGCGCGAGCGUUGUCCGGAAUUAUUGGGCGUAAAGAGCUCGUAGGCGGCCUGUUGCGUCCGCUGUGAAAUCCCGAGGCUCAACCUCGGGCCUGCAGUGGGUACGGGCAGACUGGAGUGCGGUAGGGGAGAAUGGAAUUCCUGGUGUAGCGGUGGAAUGCGCAGAUAUCAGGAGGAACACCAAUUGCGAAGGCAGCUCGCUGGGACGUUACUGACGCUGAGACGCGAAAGCGUGGGGAGCAAACAGG
Molecule: ribosomal RNA, 253 nt
Filed under: uncultured bacterium
Lineage: Bacteria
Description: partial 16S ribosomal RNA
Rfam family: Bacterial small subunit ribosomal RNA
Source: RNAcentral